RNAcentral lists this ribosomal RNA (691 nucleotides) under uncultured bacterium. RNAcentral describes it as "bacterial SSU rRNA". It matches the Rfam family "Bacterial small subunit ribosomal RNA", at positions 8 to 694 of the family's 1533-position model. The record is from RNAcentral.
AGAGUUUGAUCCUGGCUCAGAUUGAACGCUGGCGGCAGGCCUAACACAUGCAAGUCGAGCGGAUGAAGGGAGCUUGCUCCCUGAUUUAGCGGCGGACGGGUGAGUAAUGCCUAGGAAUCUGCCUGGUAGUGGGGGAUAACGUUCCGAAAGGAACGCUAAUACCGCAUACGUCCUACGGGAGAAAGCAGGGGACCUUCGGGCCUUGCGCUAUCAGAUGAGCCUAGGUCGGAUUAGCUAGUUGGUGAGGUAAUGGCUCACCAAGGCGACGAUCCGUAACUGGUCUGAGAGGAUGAUCAGUCACACUGGAACUGAGACACGGUCCAGACUCCUACGGGAGGCAGCAGUGGGGAAUAUUGGACAAUGGGCGAAAGCCUGAUCCAGCCAUGCCGCGUGUGUGAAGAAGGUCUUCGGAUUGUAAAGCACUUUAAGUUGGGAGGAAGGGCAUUAACCUAAUACGUUAGUGUUUUGACGUUACCGACAGAAUAAGCACCGGCUAACUUCGUGCCAGCAGCCGCGGUAAUACGAAGGGUGCAAGCGUUAAUCGGAAUUACUGGGCGUAAAGCGCGCGUAGGUGGUUCGUUAAGUUGGAUGUGAAAGCCCCGGGCUCAACCUGGGAACUGCAUCCAAAACUGGCGAGCCAGAGUACGGUAGAGGGUGGUGGAAUUUCCUGUGUAGCGGUGAAAUGCGUAGA